GGGUUCGUAGUCUAGCCAGGUAGGACGAUGGUCUCCAAAACCAUCGGUCGUCGGUUCAAAUCCGUCCGAGCCCA
This 74-nucleotide transfer RNA is filed under the name Nitrosopumilus adriaticus. RNAcentral's name for it is "tRNA-Trp (CCA) (tRNA-Trp-CCA-1-1)". It matches the Rfam family "tRNA". Rfam says of the family: Transfer RNA (tRNA) molecules are approximately 80 nucleotides in length. Their secondary structure includes four short double-helical elements and three loops (D, anti-codon, and T loops). Lineage: Archaea; Thermoproteati; Nitrososphaerota; Nitrososphaeria; Nitrosopumilales; Nitrosopumilaceae. The record is from RNAcentral. RNAcentral also lists the same sequence under 3 other names.